Molecule: long non-coding RNA, 795 nt
Filed under: Bos taurus (domestic cattle)
Lineage: Eukaryota; Metazoa; Chordata; Mammalia; Artiodactyla; Bovidae
Description: long non-coding RNA NONBTAT010868
Source: RNAcentral
GGGGGGGGAAGACAUUUUUAACAGCGCUAUCAACAAAAGUAUUUGAGAAAAGUAACUCUUCUGCAACUGUUUUCCUCAGGAAUCUGUUUUUUAAUUAUUGGGAGAAGGAUGUAAAGAAAUCAUUCAAUACAUUUCUAAAUCCUACUAUAGUGAGGUUUUGUUACUGAAACCUUGAUAUUUUCAGAAUUAGACAUUACUAUCUUUUAUAGCCUGUGUUUGCAAUUCUGACCUGCAGCCUUAAGCCAAAUAAUAACAUUUACACCAUUCCUUCUACAAAUUCAACUUUAAUUGGUUUUGAUGCAAGUGAAAUAAUCAUGACUCUGUGUAAAUGACUGAGACCCCUUUAGAGCUCAAGGCUCAAAAAGAAAACUGUCCCUUCAUCACAAGGUAGUUACAGCUCCCUCUUCUGGUAGCAAAUGGAAAACAGCUAACCGUGUAUACUCACGUGCUCAUCAACACCUAGAGUGAAACACCGGGAAAGCAUUAAUACAUGUGUGUGAACCUUUUAAUUGUGCUCACACAUUAUCAACAUCAUGUACUAUGUUAAAUGGAUGAGACUACUGCUUAUCACAAAAUCUUACAAUUUAGGAAUGUAAUAGAAAUUUUACUCUAAGAGCACGUUCAAAGGAUAAAGUUAGAAAAUGAGAAGGAAGAAGGAACCCAAAGUAUUUUUAACUCAUUAAUUUACCUAUGAAUACAAAGAAUUUGUUCAUUUGUGUUUAGUCUUUGUUACUGUGCUCAAAAAAUAAUUAAAUUUAUCUUAAAAUUGUGCAAUUGGAGAUUUGAGCAUUUAUA